UCCUUAGAUGUUCUGGGCUGCACGCGCGCUACACUGAUGCGAUCAACAAGUUUUUCCUAUGUCGAUAGACACGGGUAAUCUUUUGAACUCGCAUCGUGAUGGGGAUAGAUUAUUGUAAUUAUUAAUCUUCAACGAGGAAUUCCUAGUAGGUGCAAAUCAUCAGUUUGCAUCGAUUACGUCCCUGCCCUUUGUACACACCGCCCGUCGCUGCUACCGAUUGGUUGAUCUGGUGAAUUAUUCGGACUGCCGGCUGAAGGGGUUUCCUCAUCUGCCAGCGGAAAGUCUUGUUAACCCUAUCAACUAGAGGAAGCAGAAGUCGUAACA
RNAcentral lists this ribosomal RNA (324 nucleotides) under uncultured eukaryote. RNAcentral describes it as "partial 18S ribosomal RNA". It matches the Rfam family "Eukaryotic small subunit ribosomal RNA", at positions 1470 to 1796 of the family's 1831-position model. The record is from RNAcentral.